Molecule: small nucleolar RNA, 138 nt
Organism: Tachyglossus aculeatus (Australian echidna)
Lineage: Eukaryota; Metazoa; Chordata; Mammalia; Monotremata; Tachyglossidae
Source: RefSeq, a predicted model, not a curated record
CCCCUCUCAGGAUCGCACCUGGAGAGUUUCCCGUACUCUACCAGAGUCAGCUCCGGGAGGGAGAGUCGAGCAGAGGCAUACCCAUUCCAUUCCUAACUUGGGCAGUGGCUAGCGAAUGAAAGGCAAUCUGCUACAAGU